AUUUAAAUAGUUUAAAUUUAAAAUAUUAAUUUGUGGGAUUAAAGAUAUAUUUAUUUAUUUUAAAUA
RNAcentral lists this transfer RNA (66 nucleotides) under Acropyga acutiventris. RNAcentral describes it as "tRNA-His". Lineage: Eukaryota; Metazoa; Arthropoda; Insecta; Hymenoptera; Formicidae. The record is from RNAcentral.